GACGUAGGUGGCAAGCGUUGUUCGGAAUCACUGGGCAUAAAGCGCACGUAGGCGGCUGAGUAAGUCGGAUGUGAAAUACCUCGGCUCAACCGAGGAACUGCGUCCGAUACUGCUCGGCUUGAGGUCCGGAGGGGAGAGUGGAAUUCCCGGUGGAGCGGUGAAAUGCGUAGAGAUCGGGAAGAACGCCGGCGGCGAAAGCGACUCUCUGGUCGGAAUCUGACGCUGAGGUGCGAAAGCUAGGGGAGCAAACGGG
RNAcentral lists this ribosomal RNA (253 nucleotides) under uncultured bacterium. Its description in RNAcentral is "partial 16S ribosomal RNA". It matches the Rfam family "Bacterial small subunit ribosomal RNA", at positions 524 to 776 of the family's 1533-position model. The record is from RNAcentral.